Molecule: RNA transcript, 1918 nt
Organism: Numida meleagris (helmeted guineafowl)
Lineage: Eukaryota; Metazoa; Chordata; Aves; Galliformes; Numididae
Gene: ETFRF1
Gene name: electron transfer flavoprotein regulatory factor 1
Exons: 4
Source: RefSeq, a predicted model, not a curated record
CGGCUGCGGGCUGUGGGCGGGGGGCGGCCCGGGGGUGGGGAGAAGGAGCGCUGCCCCCAAAGGGACCGCCCGGGAACCGACGGGCAGCGAGCUGGGGCUGGAGCUGGCACCGCUUUAUGGAAAUAAAAAGCAUCGCGUUUAACGACUAACGCUUCUUUGUGGAUUUGUCGUUACUAACAGUGCUUUGGCAGCAAGCGUUUCUGUCGCAGGCCGCGGAAACGUAAAUUAAGUAUUUUCGCACGCAAGAAUUAAGAGUUGAGUGACAUGUGCAAUGGCCAAUUCUUUAAGAGGUGAAGUACUGAAUCUUUAUAAAAAUCUGUUGUACCUUGGAAGGGAGUAUCCCAAAGGAGCAGACUACUUUAGAAGCCGUUUGAAAGCAGCUUUUCUAAAAAACAAAGACGUGAAAGAUCCUGAAAAAAUUAAGCAGCUAAUUGCACGAGGAGAAUUUGUUAUCAAAGAGUUGGAGGCUUUGUACUUCCUCAGAAAAUACAGAGCUAUGAAAAAGCGCUACUACAGCGAAGACAAAGAAUGACUGCUACGAAGGACCCUCCCCUCCCUGUAACAAUACAAAGCCAUAAACAGUCAAUAAAAGAAAUGAAACCUCAAAAGAAAUGAACAACAAAUCCUUCCACCUCAUUUAGAAUACAAAUUGGGACUUCACUUACCCUUAAGGAGGUGACAGAAAGAUUUGGGGUAUGUAUUAUGUGGGCAUCGAUUUUUUCUCAACUUCUUUUGGCCUCCUUGAACUAUAAAUUCGUGCAUGAGAAUAAUUCUGCAGGCAGCAGUGGCGAUAUGGUUGUUUCACUGUAUGCGUGCUGAGCAGAUGGCUGCCUCUACACUGGAUUGGCUGUACGUUGCAGGGCUGAUCUGAGGUGCUACACAUCUCUUGUCACUUAGAAGAAGAAUCUGGGUUUGAAAAUCUUCCACAUUUAAGGAAUAAUUUUCACCACAACUGGGCACCUUCUAAAAAGGAAAGUAAGUUUUUAAGGAUUUUGGCUGUAUCCGCAUAAUGUGCAAUACUCACAUCAACAGACUGACGUCUUACCGUGAUGCAAAGAACAUCAGUGGGUCAGGAAGGGGAUGGAUUGGAACAAUAAUGGUUUUAGUACUCAGACUCUAAAGACAAUUCCUGCAGCUAAUGAUUUUGAUGCUGCACAACUGCCUUAGCAGGAGUCUAGAACUCGAUCCUCUCCCCUGGAGGAGAUUUACGCUGGCUGUUUGCUCCAUGGAUAACUCUUUGUGAACUUUGGCUCAACAGGCAGACUUUCACCUUAGCCAUUCCUCUCUACGUGCUCUGCUGGUUUGCUGCUUUUUUUUUUCGAUAGAAUUAAAUGACACUGGAGAUAGAACAGAAAAAAAAUCUUUGAAAUACAGGACACAAUCGGUGCUAAGGAAAUGCCUUUAUUUUCUCUGAGUUCACAAAAGGCAUACGAUAGAGGCGAACAUGCACAGCUGGGAAUGAGUACAGGAUGACUAGUCUGGCCCUUUCAGACUUGCAGACGGAUUCAAAUCGCUUUUGCUGUUGAGUAAGGAAAACCAGGCCUCCGUGCCUGGCUGGGAGCGGCAGCCCUUGGAUUCAGGGAGGAGAGGUCAACGCACCAGGAACCGAGACACAAAUACCUGAGGCCGGGCCCUGCUCAGAGUGCAGAGCCAGCAUGGCCCACCAGACGGAUCAGCGCUACCACGCGCUGUGCUGGGCCAGUGCCGCUUAUGGCAGGCAAGGAGAAGUACAGGAAAUAAGCUGCGAACAACUGCCAGACACACGUGCACUUCAUGGGCUACUCCACUGCAGAGACGAGGCGCUGAAAUUCUUGGAGAGAAAAGCAAACAGGGACAGAAGUUCACAAUAACUAUUUUUUAUUACAUUACAAUAAAUAGGAGCAGUACAGUUUGACAAAAAAAAAAAAAAAAAAAAAAA